This 347-nucleotide ribosomal RNA is filed under the name uncultured bacterium. Its description in RNAcentral is "bacterial SSU rRNA". It matches the Rfam family "Bacterial small subunit ribosomal RNA", at positions 8 to 349 of the family's 1533-position model. The record is from RNAcentral.
AGAGUUUGAUCCUGGCUCAGGAUGAACGCUAGCUACAGGCUUAACACAUGCAAGUCGAGGGGAAACGACAUCGAAAGCUUGCUUUUGACGGGCGUCGACCGGCGCACGGGUGAGUAACGCGUAUCCAACCUGCCCACCACUUGGGGAUAACCUUGCGAAAGUAAGACUAAUACCCAAUGACGUCUCUAGAAGACAUCUGAAAGAGAUUAAAGAUUUAUCGGUGAUGGAUGGGGAUGCGUCUGAUUAGCUUGUGGCGGGUAACGCCACAAGGCGACGAUCAGUAGGGGUUCUGAGAGGAAGGUCCCCCANAUUGGAACUGAGACACGGUCCAAACUCCUACGGGAGCA